Myotis brandtii (Brandt's bat) is the source of this 75-nucleotide non-coding RNA. NCBI's taxonomy places the organism in Eukaryota, Metazoa, Chordata, Mammalia, Chiroptera, Vespertilionidae. The record is from Rfam.
GGCAGUUCUUGGGUGAUGCACCCCAGAAUCAGGCUCCCUCCCCUCUGGUUCCAGGUACAUCAUCUGAGAACCGCA